CAAAGGUUUGGUCCUGGCCUUUCUAUCAGCUGUGACUCGAUUUACACAUGCAAGUCUCCGCAUCCCCGUGAAGACGCCCUCAUUCCCCUUAUACUUAGGGAAAGAGGAGCUGGUAUCAGGCACAAUAUUUUUGCCCAAGACGCCUAGCCUAGCCACGCCCCCAAGGGUUUUCAGCAGUGAUUAAUCUUAAGCAAUAAGCGAAAGCUUGACUUAGUUAGAGUUCAGAGAGCCGGUCAAACUCGUGCCAGCCACCGCGGUUAAACGGGUGGCUCAAGUUGAUAGACCACGGCGUAAAGAGUGGUUAUGGAGAAUAAACUAAACUAAGGCCGAAGGGCCCCCGGGUAGUUGUAAGCUUCCGGUCGUCCGAAGUUCAAUCACGAAAGUAGCCUUAACACAUUCUACCAGACUCCACGACAGCUGGGGAACAAACUGGGAUUAGAUACCCCACUAUGCCCAGCCGUAAACCUAGAUACCGCAGAACUACAGGUAUCCGCCCGGGAACUACGAGCGACAGCUUAAAACCCAAAGGACUUGGCGGUGCUUCAGACCCCCCUAGAGGAGCCUGUUCUAUAACCGAUAAUCCUCGUUAAACCUCACUACUCCUUGUCCUCCCAGCCUAUAUACCGCCGUCGCCAGCUUACCCUGUGAAGGCACAGCAGUUAGCGAAAUGAGUACAGCUCAGCACGUCAGGUCGAGGUGUAGCGUACGGAGUAGGAAGAAAUGGGCUACAUUAUCUGAUACAGAUCAUUACGAAAAGAUCUCCUGAAACGGAACUCAGAAGGUGGAUUUAGCAGUAAGGAAGGAGCAGAGAGCCCUCCUGAAGCCGGCGCUGAAACGUGUACACAUCGCCCGUCGCUCCCCCCGAACAACACGCAGAUAAGUUCUUAACCCCACAUCAGUUAUAAGGGGGGAUAAGUCGUAACACAGUAAGUGUACCGGAAGGUGCACUUGGAACAAU
This 958-nucleotide non-coding RNA is filed under the name Amblygaster sirm (spotted sardinella). Its description in RNAcentral is "12S ribosomal RNA". It matches the Rfam family "Bacterial small subunit ribosomal RNA". The record is from RNAcentral. Lineage: Eukaryota; Metazoa; Chordata; Actinopteri; Clupeiformes; Clupeidae.